UACAGAGGGUGCACGCGUUGUUCGGACUUCUUGGGCGUAACGGGCGCGUAGGCGGUUCGUACAGUCAGACGUGAAAUUCCUGGGCUCAACCUGGGGGCUGCGUUUGAUACGUGCGGGCUUGAGUUCGGAAGAGGGUCGUGGAAUUCCCAGUGUAGAGGUGAAAUUCGUAGAUAUUGGGAAGAACACCGGUGGCGAAGGCGGCGACCUGGUCCGAUACUGACGCUGAGGCGCGAAAGCGUGGGGAGCAAACAGG
This 253-nucleotide ribosomal RNA is filed under the name uncultured bacterium. RNAcentral describes it as "partial 16S ribosomal RNA". It matches the Rfam family "Bacterial small subunit ribosomal RNA", at positions 524 to 776 of the family's 1533-position model. The record is from RNAcentral.